Molecule: long non-coding RNA, 271 nt
Filed under: Bos taurus (domestic cattle)
Lineage: Eukaryota; Metazoa; Chordata; Mammalia; Artiodactyla; Bovidae
Description: long non-coding RNA NONBTAT018264
Source: RNAcentral
CAAUUUAGUUCUCUGAAAUGGUUUUCUCCAUCUUUUUCUGUAGGAGAGGUAAAUAUAGGUCAUAUGUGGGGGUGCUGCUUGCAAGUUUAAUGUUAAGUAUUCAGUGGCUUGGUUUACUUGAAGUGAAAGUAAUACUAUAAUUAAUCAUUUUGCUAAUAAGCUCUGCCAAGAAAUUUUAAGUGAAGACAAAAUUUUAUACUAAACCAAUUUAGAAGUGAGUUUGAAAGUUAACUUUAUAAAUUAAGUUCUAUUCCAUAUUCUAAUAUAAUAA